CCUGGCUCAGGACGAACGCUGGCGGCGUGCCUAAUACAUGCAAGUCGAACGCUUCUUUCCUCCCGAGUGCUUGCACUCAAUUGGAAAGAGGAGUGGCGGACGGGUGAGUAACACGUGGGUAACCUACCCAUCAGAGGGGGAUAACACUUGGAAACAUGUGCUAAUACCGCAUAACAGUUUAUGCCGCAUGGCAUAAGAGUGAAAGGCGCUUUCGGGUGUCGCUGAUGGAUGGACCCGCGGUGCAUUAGCUAGUUGGUGAGGUAACGGCUCACCAAGGCCACGAUGCAUAGCCGACCUGAGAGGGUGAUCGGCCACACUGGGACUGAGACACGGCCCAGACUCCUACGGGAGGCAGCAGUAGGGAAUCUUCGGCAAUGGACGAAAGUCUGACCGAGCAACGCCGCGUGAGUGAAGAAGGUUUUCGGAUCGUAAAGCUCUGUUGUAAGUCAAGAACGAGUGUGAGAGUGGAAAGUUCACACUGUGACGGUAGCUUACCAGAAAGGGACGGCUAACUACGUGCCAGCAGCCGCGGUAAUACGUAGGUCCCGAGCGUUGUCCGGAUUUAUUGGGCGUAAAGCGAGCGCAGGCGGUUUGAUAAGUCUGAAG
This 606-nucleotide ribosomal RNA is filed under the name uncultured Enterococcus sp. RNAcentral describes it as "bacterial SSU rRNA". It matches the Rfam family "Bacterial small subunit ribosomal RNA", at positions 18 to 594 of the family's 1533-position model. Lineage: Bacteria; Bacillati; Bacillota; Bacilli; Lactobacillales; Enterococcaceae. The record is from RNAcentral.